RNAcentral lists this ribosomal RNA (400 nucleotides) under uncultured bacterium. RNAcentral's name for it is "bacterial SSU rRNA". It matches the Rfam family "Bacterial small subunit ribosomal RNA", at positions 356 to 773 of the family's 1533-position model. The record is from RNAcentral.
GGGGAAUCUUAGACAAUGGGGGCAACCCUGAUCUAGCCAUGCCGCGUGAGUGAUGAAGGCCUUAGGGUUGUAAAGCUCUUUCAGCUGGGAAGAUAAUGACGGUACCAGCAGAAGAAGCCCCGGCUAACUCCGUGCCAGCAGCCGCGGUAAUACGGAGGGGGCUAGCGUUGUUCGGAAUUACUGGGCGUAAAGCGCACGUAGGCGGACUGGAAAGUUGGAGGUGAAAUCCCAGGGCUCAACCUUGGAACUGCCUUCAAAACUAUCAGUCUGGAGUUCGAGAGAGGUGAGUGGAAUUCCGAGUGUAGAGGUGAAAUUCGUAGAUAUUCGGAGGAACACCAGUGGCGAAGGCGGCUCACUGGCUCGAUACUGACGCUGAGGUGCGAAAGUGUGGGGAGCAAAC